This 377-nucleotide unclassified non-coding RNA is filed under the name uncultured Actinomycetes bacterium. Its description in RNAcentral is "uncultured actinobacterium contains 16S-23S intergenic spacer region". The record is from RNAcentral. Lineage: Bacteria; Bacillati; Actinomycetota; Actinomycetes.
UCCGAGUUGACCCCGGCAGUCUCCUAUGAGUCCCCGGCCGAACCGCUGGCAACAUAGAACGAGGGUUGCGCUCGUUGCGGGACUUAACCCAACAUCUCACGACACGAGCUGACGACAACCAUGCACCACCUGUGAACCGGCCCCAAAAGGGGAAAGACUGUUUCCAGCCCGGACCGGCCCAUGUCAAGCCUUGGUAAGGUUCUUCGCGUUGCAUCGAAUUAAUCCGCAUGCUCCGCCGCUUGUGCGGGCCCCCGUCAAUUCCUUUGAGUUUUAACCUUGCGGCCGUACUCCCCAGGCGGAGUGCUUAACGCGUUAGCUGCGCCACCGAUGAGCAAGCUCACCGACGGCUAGCACCCAUAGUUUACGGCGUGGACUAC